Molecule: long non-coding RNA, 552 nt
Organism: Rhineura floridana
Lineage: Eukaryota; Metazoa; Chordata; Lepidosauria; Squamata; Rhineuridae
Exons: 5
Source: RefSeq, a predicted model, not a curated record
CAAAGUGUUCGGUAAUCUGUUUUUCUUUCACUCCCCCCCCCUCCAUUGAAGGAGGACGACAAGAGAGAGAGAUCAUUCUAUUGUUUAAUUCCUUGUAAAUUUACGUCACAUGUUGAUAUUUUAAGGAGGUGCCAAGAGGAUAUGGCCAGAUCACAUGGUCCUGGAAAGUAGUAUUCAAGGAAACAAGCGUUUUGUAAGUACAUUUUGGAAAGAAGAAAAGGAUUCCUGCAUUCCUGACAUUUGAAGCUGAAGGCAACUUGCAGGCAAGAAGCGACACAAAUACCCACCAGCACUAACCCUAGGUGCAUGUGAAGUGAUGCAAAAUGGACAGACACACGCGAUUAAUGAAGCAAUAGUACAACAUCAUUCAGGACUUUGGUAAACCUUAAAGCACCAAGCCAAUUCCUUCCUUGCCAAAAGAAGGAGAAGCUACUACUGCCAGCACAAAGAUUUCGUGUCACCUAUCACCCAUGUUUGAAAGAUACUAAAAUGGUAUAAUGGGGGGAAAUGGUAUUCUGGUACUUAGUUCUAGUGUUUUGGUCUUCCUUGCUC